CUGUCCCUACGGGAGGCAGCAGUGGGGAAUAUUGCUCAAUGGGGGAAACCCUGAAGCAGCAACGCCGCGUGGAGGUUGAAGGUUUUCGGAUUGUAAACUCCUUUUGUUAGAGAAGAUAAUGACGGUAUCUAACGAAUAAGCACCGGCUAACUCCGUGCCAGCAGCCGCGGUAAUACGGAGGGUGCAAGCGUUACUCGGAAUCACUGGGCGUAAAGAGCGCGUAGGCGGGAUAGCAAGUCAGAUGUGAAAUCCUAUGGCUUAACCAUAGAACUGCAUUUGAAACUGUUAUUCUAGAGUAUGGGCGG
RNAcentral lists this ribosomal RNA (305 nucleotides) under uncultured bacterium. RNAcentral's name for it is "bacterial SSU rRNA". It matches the Rfam family "Bacterial small subunit ribosomal RNA", at positions 333 to 655 of the family's 1533-position model. The record is from RNAcentral.